GAUGAACGCUAGCUACAGGCUUAACACAUGCAAGUCGAGGGGCAGCAUGGUCGAAGCUUGCUUCGACUGAUGGCGACCGGCGCACGGGUGCGUAACGCGUAUCGAACCUGCCCUAUACACGGGGAUAGCCUUGCGAAAGUAAGAUUAAUACCCGAUGGCUUCCUUUUGCCUCCUGACAAAGGGAAUAAAGAAUUUCGGUAUGGGAUGGCGAUGCGUCCGAUUAGCUAGUUGGCGGGGUAACGGCCCACCAAGGCGACGAUCGGUAGGGGUUCUGAGAGGAAGGUCCCCCCACAUUGGAACUGAGACACGGUCCAAACUCCUACGGGAGGCAGCAGUGAGGAAUAUUGGUCAAUGGGCGAGAGCCUGAACCAGCCAAGUAGCGUGCAGGAUGACGGCCCUAUGGGUUGUAAACUGCUUUUAUAAGGGAAUAAAGUUAGUCUCGUGAGACUUUUUGCAUGUACCUUAUGAAUAAGGACCGGCUAAUUCCGUG
This 490-nucleotide ribosomal RNA is filed under the name uncultured bacterium. RNAcentral describes it as "bacterial SSU rRNA". It matches the Rfam family "Bacterial small subunit ribosomal RNA", at positions 28 to 507 of the family's 1533-position model. The record is from RNAcentral.